GUGAAAUUGUUGAAAGGGAAACGCUUGAAGUCAGUCAUGUCGUCCAGGGAUCAACCUUGCUUUUGCUUGGUGCACUUUCUGGUUUGACAGGUCAGCAUCAAUUUUGACCAUUGGAAAAAGGCUAAGGGAAUGUGGCAUCUUUGGAUGUGUUAUAGCCCUUGGUCGCAUACAAUGGUUGGGAUUGAGGAACUCAGCACGCCGAAAGGCCGGGUUUUAAACCACGUUCGUGCUUAGGAUGCUGGCAAUAUGGCUUUAAUCGACCCGUCUUGAAACACGGACCAAGGAGUCUAACAUGCCUGCGAGUGUUUGGGUGGAAAACCCGAGCGCGUAAUGAAAGUGAAAAGUUGAGAUCCCUGUCGUGGGGAGCAUCGACGCCCGGACCAGACCUUUUGUGACGGUUCCGCGGUAGAGCAUGUAUGUUGGGACCCGAAAGAUGGUGAACUAUGCCUGAAUAGGGUGAAUCCAGAGGAAACUCUGGUAGAGGCUCGUAGCGAUUCUGACGUGCAAAUCGAUCGUCAAAUUUGGGUAUAGGGGCGAAAGACUAAUCGAACCAUCUAGUAGCUGGUUCCUGCCGAAGUUUCCCUCAGGAUAGCAGAAACUCAUAUCAGAUUUAUGUGGUAAAGCGAAUGAUUAGAGGCCUUGGGGUUGAAACAACCUUAACCUAUUCUCAAACUUUAAAUAUGUAAGAACAAGCCGUCUCCUGAUUGGACCGCUUGGCGAUUGAGAGUUUCUAGUGGGCCAUUUUUGGUAAGCAGAACUGGCGAUGCGGGAUGAACCGAACGCGAGGUUAAGGUGCCGGAAUUCACGCUCAUCAGACACCACAAAAG
RNAcentral lists this ribosomal RNA (827 nucleotides) under uncultured Basidiomycota. RNAcentral's name for it is "LSU rRNA". It matches the Rfam family "Eukaryotic large subunit ribosomal RNA", at positions 399 to 1220 of the family's 3401-position model. Lineage: Eukaryota; Fungi; Basidiomycota. The record is from RNAcentral.